GGAGCCGGAAUUGCUAGUAAUGGCAGGUCAGCAUACUGCCGUGAAUACGUUCCCGGGCCUUGUACACACCGCCCGUCACACCAUGAGAGUUGGGAGCACCCGAAGCCGGUGAGUUGACCGCAAGGGGACAGCCGUCGAAGGUGAGACUGAUGACUGGGGUGAAGUCGUAACAAGGUAUC
RNAcentral lists this ribosomal RNA (179 nucleotides) under uncultured bacterium. RNAcentral describes it as "partial 16S ribosomal RNA". It matches the Rfam family "Bacterial small subunit ribosomal RNA", at positions 1322 to 1500 of the family's 1533-position model. The record is from RNAcentral.